UUAAGUUCAGCGCGUAUUCCUACCUGAUCUGAGGUCAAUAAAUGAAGAUGCCAAGAGCACGGGGCACGAGGCGGGCUUUAGGUGCGGCACCUUGAAUGCACCGGAGAGCAACGAGUUGGACGAACCUAGAACGUUGUGUAACCGGGCGGCGGGCCGCACCAAUCCAUUUGAGGACAGCGAUCCCUGAGGAUCGCACGUCC
RNAcentral lists this unclassified non-coding RNA (200 nucleotides) under Taphrina sp. RNAcentral describes it as "partial internal transcribed spacer 2". The record is from RNAcentral. Lineage: Eukaryota; Fungi; Ascomycota; Taphrinomycetes; Taphrinales; Taphrinaceae.